This 431-nucleotide ribosomal RNA is filed under the name Paractenopsyllus raxworthyi. Its description in RNAcentral is "partial 16S ribosomal RNA". The record is from RNAcentral. Lineage: Eukaryota; Metazoa; Arthropoda; Insecta; Siphonaptera; Leptopsyllidae.
UGUAAGAAUAAAUAGUCGAACAGACUAAAUUUUUUAACUUCUACACCAAAAAAUAAUCUUAAUCCAACAUCGAGGUCGCAAACUUUUUUAUCGAUAAGUUCUCUUUAAAAAUAUUACGCUGUUAUCCCUUAAGUAACUUGAUCUUUUAAUCAUUAUUAAUGGAUCAAUUCAUUAAUUCAUGAAAAAAAGUUAAACAAAUUUUCCUAUCACCCCAAUAAAAUAUAAUAUUAAGCUUUAAAGGGUCUUCUCGUCCUCUAAUUAAAUUUAAGCUUUUUAACUUAAAAAUUAAAUUCUACAACAAUUUAAAUAAGACAGUAAAAAUUUCAUUCAAUCAUUCAUUCCAGCUUUCAAUUAAAAAACUAUUGAUUAUGCUACCUUUGCACAGUCAAAAUACUGCGGCCUUUUUCAAUGGGCAGAUUAGACUUUUUAUU